This 468-nucleotide ribosomal RNA is filed under the name uncultured bacterium. Its description in RNAcentral is "partial 16S ribosomal RNA". It matches the Rfam family "Bacterial small subunit ribosomal RNA", at positions 28 to 507 of the family's 1533-position model. The record is from RNAcentral.
GACGAACGCUGGCGGCGUGCUUAACACAUACAAGUCGAACGGAAAGGCCCUGCUUUUGUGGGGUGCUCGAGUGGCGAACGGGUGAGUAACACGUGAGUAACCUGCCCUUGACUUUGGGAUAACUUCAGGAAACUGGGGCUAAUACCGGAUAGGAGCUCCUGCUGCAUGGUGGGGGUUGGAAAGUUUCGGCGGUUGGGGAUGGACUCGCGGCUUAUCAGCUUGUUGGUGGGGUAGUGGCUUACCAAGGCUUUGACGGGUAGCCGGCCUGAGAGGGUGACCGGCCACAUUGGGACUGAGAUACGGCCCAGACUCCUACGGGAGGCAGCAGUGGGGAAUAUUGCACAAUGGGCGGAAGCCUGAUGCAGCAACGCCGCGUGCGGGAUGACGGCCUUCGGGUUGUAAACCGCUUUCGCCUGUGACGAGGCGUGAGUGACGGUAAUGGGUAAAGAAGCACCGGCUAACUACGUG